Molecule: unclassified non-coding RNA, 381 nt
Filed under: uncultured Gaiellales bacterium
Lineage: Bacteria; Bacillati; Actinomycetota; Thermoleophilia; Gaiellales
Description: contains 16S-23S intergenic spacer region
Source: RNAcentral
UCCUCGUUUAAGCGAGGCAGUCUGUCCAGAGUGCUCCGAACUCUCGUUCGGGUGGCAACAGGACACAGGGGUUGCGCUCGUUGCGGGACUUAACCCAACAUCUCACGACACGAGCUGACGACAACCAUGCGCCACCUGCGCAGGACCCUUGCGGACCCCAUAUUUCUACGACAUUCCAGUGCAUGUCAAGCCUUGGUAAGGUUCUUCGCGUUGCGUCGAAUUAAACAACAUGCUCCGCUGCUUGUGCGGGUCCCCGUCAAUUCCUUUGAGUUUUAGCCUUGCGGCCGUACUCCCCAGGCGGGGUGCUUAAUGCGUUAGCUUCGGCACGGAAGGAGUCGACACCUCCCACACCUAGCACCCAUCGUUUACGGCGUGGACUAC